This 73-nucleotide transfer RNA is filed under the name Marmota monax (woodchuck). It matches the Rfam family "tRNA". From Rfam's summary of the family: Transfer RNA (tRNA) molecules are approximately 80 nucleotides in length. Their secondary structure includes four short double-helical elements and three loops (D, anti-codon, and T loops). Further hydrogen bonds mediate the characteristic L-shaped molecular structure. tRNAs have two regions of fundamental functional importance: the anti-codon, which is responsible for specific mRNA codon recognition, and the 3' end, to which the tRNAs corresponding amino acid is attached (by aminoacyl-tRNA synthetases). tRNAs cope with the degeneracy of the genetic code in two manners: having more than one tRNA (with a specific anti-codon) for a particular amino acid; and 'wobble' base-pairing, i.e. permitting non-standard base-pairing at the 3rd anti-codon position. The record is from Rfam by way of RNAcentral. Lineage: Eukaryota; Metazoa; Chordata; Mammalia; Rodentia; Sciuridae.
GCUGAUGGGGCUCAGUGGUAAGAGCGCUGGCUUGGCACGCGUCAGGGCCCUGGGUUCUAUCCCCAGCACCACA